This is a long non-coding RNA of Telopea speciosissima, 95 nucleotides long. RefSeq lists it as uncharacterized. The record is from RefSeq and is a predicted model, not a curated record. NCBI's taxonomy places the organism in Eukaryota, Viridiplantae, Streptophyta, Magnoliopsida, Proteales, Proteaceae. The transcript has 3 exons.
UCUGCUAAUCUUAAUGUUGGGGUUUGGAAGGGUUGUUAGGAUUCCAUCGGUAGAUGGAGAAGGUCUUGAGCAAAGAGGUGUCUUGUGCUUUGGCU